AUACAACUGACGAGUCCCAAAUAGGACGAAACGCCUUUUGUCCUGGAU
This is a non-coding RNA of Schistosoma mattheei, 48 nucleotides long. The record is from Rfam. Lineage: Eukaryota; Metazoa; Platyhelminthes; Trematoda; Strigeidida; Schistosomatidae.